ACUCCGUGUUGGGUUACAGUGACAACAAGGGCCCUGUCUGAACCACUGCUUUUAGGAAGAUAAUAUUACAGGCUAGCAUCUGAUCCAUCCGCCAAUACGCAGUUGAGACGAAGGAGGUUAAAGCGCUCUGAGCACAAGGGACCAUAUUGCAGCGCCUCGCAGCACUCCUCCAUGUUCUCCUCCAUCUGCCUCCUGUCCAUUGAUCAGCCUUCCAGGCCAUCAGUCUGUUUAACAUCUGCUACAAGUUCCAGCAGCUCAGAUGCGCGCAGGGGCUGUAAUGAAGAGCUCUUGAACUCGCAGUCGGAGGAGCUGUGACAGGGGUUCAGGAGGACGUCACUUUGGCUCUGCUGGAUAGGGACCUGCGCCGUGGAUGAAAUUUAGCCCCGACCCCUGAUCUUUGGGUUCAGCGUUUGUCUCCAGUCCAGUGACCACAAACAACCUGGAUUGCUGUAAAUGUCAGUGCAGCCGCGCCUCCGCCCUCUCCCCUGUGAAGCACAGGCCUGCACUCAGCGUGCACUAACAAGACACUUUUUAUGACGGCGCCAUUAUCACUGCUGAAGUGACCUGUUUAGCAAAGCCAGCAGCUGCUACAUCUGUCAGAGGCUCGCUUCUAAUAGAUUGCAAUUCAUGUUGGGGAGACUUUGGUUGUAAUGCAUCUCGUUUUGAAGCACUUUGGCUCACCCUUCCCCCACAAAUAAACACACACGCUUCCCUUUUUCUCCUCGGCGGGCCUCCCGAGGUUGCUGUCUCUGCGUUAGGACUCUAUUGUUGGCUACCGCUGGAUAAUGCCCUUAUUAAUUGUACCUCUUUGUAAGGUGUCAGCUGUAGGCUCAGAUUGAGAUGGAUGGAUCUCUGGAGUCUGCUCGCUGGCCCUCGGCAGACGCUCUAUCUCUGCACAGCAGUGAGUGCUGCCACACUUUGACUAAAAGCACAGAUAAAACAGCCACGUUUAAUUAUUCCACCAAAAAAGAAACAUGUUUCCAGAUAGAAGGUCUAUUUUUUUUCUGUCAUUGGUAAGGUGUGCCAGCAUGUGAUGCAUUUUAAUUAUCAGAAUAUCUAAACUAGCAGUGAUGACGAUAAAAUAUCUUCAUUAUUAUUAUUAUUGAUUAUUUCAAUGUGCUGCAGAAAUUCUGGUUAAUGAGGUAGAUUGAAGCCUCCAUGAGAUCAACAGCAUUAAGAUCAAAUCCUUUCCCUCUCAUUAAGGGAAACUGAUUCAGUUUAAUUCAUGCAGAUUAAUCCUCAUUGAUGCUUAUUUUAUCUUAUAAAAUGAUUAGCAGUUUAGACUUCACUUUCAACCAUUUCAGAAAUUCAAGUUUGACCACUUUGUUGUAAUCUUCAGCAGUA
Molecule: long non-coding RNA, 1344 nt
Organism: Thalassophryne amazonica
Lineage: Eukaryota; Metazoa; Chordata; Actinopteri; Batrachoidiformes; Batrachoididae
Exons: 6
Source: RefSeq, a predicted model, not a curated record